AUAUUUUCUGAAAAGUUAGCAAACAUGAAACUGCUGAAACAGUUUGGAAAAUACUUGAGGAGCUUUAUUUAACUCAAUCCAAACCCAGCAAACUUUUUUUUACUUGAAAGUUUUUCCAGUUUCAAAUUAAUCCCUCAAAGGAGUUAAACGACAAUCUUGACAUUUUCAAUAAAUUGGUUCAAAAUAUUAUAAAUCGUGGUGAAGAUUUGUUGGAUAAUUGAUAUCAAAUAAACCCAAGGCUAUGAUGAUAAACCUAGUCGGACCAAGUUCAUAAGCCUUGUGCCAAUUAUUGAAGCAUUUAUAGCAAUUAACCCAGAACCAAGACGGACCAAGAACUCACUUGUUGCAAGGUUGACUCACCUAUUAUGUUUGGUCCAUUCAGUUUUGAGCUAGGAACCCAUUUAUAUGAGUGGACUCCCCUCAUUGCGGUCGCACAUAAUACUUGCGCUGCCUUCUUUGCUUUUGUCUCUGACUUUUAGCUACCUUGUCUUUUAGCAUUUGCUCCGUGCUCCGGCUUUGGCUGCCCUUUCUUGACCUCCUUUUCGGGGUCAUCGGCUGUUGUGCUAUACCGGUGGCUCUCUGUUGUGGCUCCACUCUGCUCCGUUUUCGACCUUCUCCCUCGCACCAGUUUUAUGUCCGUUCAUUUGUAGCUUGAUUUGGUCGAUCCUUUUGACAGUUCUUGUGAGAUUCUUGGAUCCAAUUGAGUGUGGUGCUACCUUGUUGCUUUCAAUUGGUUAAUCUGAGCCUCGAUCAUCCACUACGCAUCUUGGAACAUGGAUUUGUUAGGAAAUUAUUUUUCUUGCGAUUUCAAUAUAGUUAAUUCAAUUUCUGGCUUAUAGUAUUGAUAUCUAACUUGGUGUUUAAUUAUCUUUACUUGUUAGGAACACUAUUUUACAACCAGCAGGAAUAUGCUAUUUGCACGAAGAAUGGCCCGAAGUUGGCUAUGACCUCAAAACAAUAGACUUCUAGCUGUCAGAUGAAGGAGAACCAUUGAUAUCAAUGUUUAAAUUUGAUUAUCAUAACAACAGCAAAAAAGGAGGUAACACCAUUAUAGCAAGAUGGUGUUGGAAUGCGGAAUCGGAAUUAUCCAGAAAUUAAAAAUUUCUUUAAUUCAAUAGCCAAGAUCGUUUAGAUGUUCACGUGUAUGUUAUAUCAAAAUUAAAGGAUUUGAAUCUUUUACCUAAGUUCAAUUAUCAACCUUUGAAUUGAUUUUGAACCACGA
RNAcentral lists this long non-coding RNA (1222 nucleotides) under Olea europaea subsp. europaea. Lineage: Eukaryota; Viridiplantae; Streptophyta; Magnoliopsida; Lamiales; Oleaceae. The record is from RNAcentral.